GUAACGAGAGCAGGAGCAAUCUCGGGCUGGCGGCCGCGCUGCCUGCACCGCCAGCCUCCACUCUUGGGAAGUGCGCUGGCAACGCAGCCCUGACUUGGAAAAGUCUGCUGACCGCAACUAGACCCCCACAUAAAUAGUGUCAAUCUGCAUUGCGGAACGACUUUAGUUUCUAGGGGAGUUUUUGGUUUUGCUUUUCAAAGUCCCGGAUUUCGGGAUUUAGUUCAAACGGUGCUCAGAAAUGAGGCGCGGGAGGAGGAACACUGACAGGGAGGACAGCAGGGGAAAGGUGUGUCUCUGGACUUUCAUUUCUUGCCAGAGUAGCAGGGCCCUCUGGUUUAAAAAUCCAUUAUCCUUUUUCGCUUCUCCCAGAAUCCCUGUGUGUCACUCCUUCUCCAACCCCCACCCCCAUCUUUGGAGACGCUCCGGGAGGCGACAGGGACCUGGCGACUGCAUAGAACCAGCGCUCCUAGGGCAAGGCAGAGGUGGGACACAGCCAGGGUCUUCAGGUCAGUGAAGUGAUGCCUCAGUCUGAUAGUGUCUGAAGAAUUGCUGGGCUAUUGUGGCAACUGAGGGCAAAGAAGGGAAAACAGAAGCAAAGAAAACUGUUUCACAAACUCUUGGAAUUGCUACUGUUAAAAGGCUGCAUUUCACUUCUGAUUUCCUCAUCUGUUGCUACAAAGGAAAAAGAAAUCCAAUGAUGUGUCUGCAUUUGAUGAGAAGAAAACACUAACAACAGCAGUGUAGGUUCGAAAGUCAUUGCUCGGAGAGGGCAGGAGUGAAUUAAGGCCCCGGGGACCGCGGACGCCGGGCCAGGAGACCGCCUGAAAUAUGAGCCGAACCUGUUUUGUGAGAUGCACUUGGGUUUGGGGGUCAGGGUCGAAGGCUUCAAAGCCCUUGGUCUGCACGUGUGAAAAAUCUCUCCCUCCCUCCCGCCCCUCCUCUUCCUCUCUUCCUCUCUUUUUCCCUGUUCCCUUUUCUCCUCACCUCUCCCAGAAUUAAUUUCCUCUCCCCUUCCUCUAUUUUCCUUGUCUUUGUCUAUUUCAUGCUGACCCAUUUAGUCCAAAGUAUUUCUAGGAAAAAUACACAGAAGUAGGCUCUUGGACUGUGCCAGCCCAAUCACCUUUUGAAAUUCGAGAGAAUCGGGAUGUUGAAGAUAUUGAGAACUCGGUGUACACACAUUGAUAAUGCACUGGGAGGGUUAGUUCUGUUCCAGUAAUGGGCCAGUCCCGGACACUGUGCAAAAGUUUUAGCUUUAACACAAGUUAUCAUUCACAAUAUUUAUUUGGUAUCGUCCAAAG
Sapajus apella (tufted capuchin) is the source of this 1298-nucleotide long non-coding RNA. RefSeq lists it as uncharacterized. NCBI's taxonomy places the organism in Eukaryota, Metazoa, Chordata, Mammalia, Primates, Cebidae. The record is from RefSeq and is a predicted model, not a curated record. The transcript has 3 exons.